UACGAACCGUACAAACGUUAUUCGGAAUCACUGGGCUUAAAGGGUUCGUAGGCGGCCUUGUAAGUGGGUGUGAAAUCCUCGGCUCAACCGAGAAUAGCGCUCCAAACUGCAAGGCUUGAGGGAGACAGGGGUAAGCGGAACUGAUGGUGGAGCGGUGAAAUGCGUUGAUAUCAUCAGGAACACCGGUGGCGAAAGCGGCUUACUGGGUCUCUUCUGACGCUGAGGAACGAAAGCUAGGGUAGCGAA
This 246-nucleotide ribosomal RNA is filed under the name uncultured bacterium. RNAcentral's name for it is "partial 16S ribosomal RNA". It matches the Rfam family "Bacterial small subunit ribosomal RNA", at positions 524 to 772 of the family's 1533-position model. The record is from RNAcentral.